AAAAUGAGGACUCAAAUUUAAUUUGUGUCAAUAAAGUGACAUUUAAGUGAUAUUAGGGAAAUUUCUUGUGGAUCACUCUGGGCGUAACUUCACUGAUUUGAACUUUUAUCUCCUUAUCCAUAGUGAUGUUGGAUGUGAUGGGUUGGUGCUGUGGAAUUCUUGUGACUGUGGCCUCAUUGCUGAGAUCCCGUGGAAGAUUCCUGCUGGUGAAACAUUUCUCAAGUGUCUACAUGUUCUAGAAGGGGAAUUUUUCGAAGGUGGCCUCUUCUUCGGAAUAGUCCGAUGGCAUCAGGCCUCUGAAGCAAGGGGAAGGGGAAGAGAAAAAAGCUGAAACACAAGGUUCAUCUGGUUGACAGAAGUCUGAGACUCACUGAGCUGCUCUUGUGGUUAGAGGGCUAAGGAGAGGAAGUCGGGACAAAGCUGCCUUUGUGCUCCCUGAAGAUGGAUCCUUGUCCUACAUCAUGAAACGCAAGUGUCAGACAUAUGGCAAAGCCAUUUUCCUUUUUACCCAGGAGGAUUUGAGUGGGGCAAUGGAAAGGUGAGAGGAAAA
This is a non-coding RNA of Heterocephalus glaber (naked mole-rat), 550 nucleotides long. The record is from RefSeq and is a predicted model, not a curated record. Lineage: Eukaryota; Metazoa; Chordata; Mammalia; Rodentia; Bathyergidae.